Non-coding RNA from Sus scrofa (pig), 1252 nucleotides. The record is from RefSeq and is a predicted model, not a curated record. NCBI's taxonomy places the organism in Eukaryota, Metazoa, Chordata, Mammalia, Artiodactyla, Suidae.
CCUGUGUGCUGCCUUGGGCCAACAGCCCUGCCCGAAGAAAACUUCGCCUGCGGCGCUGGUUUCCUGGAGGAACAUCCUGAUUGGGCAAGGAUGAAAUGACAUAGACCAGGGCUCAGCAAGGAAUCGGGGAGGCAGGAAGAAGAGCCCAGUCUGUGACUGCCUGUGUGGCCUUGAAGGAGAAAACCAAGGCCCAGAAAGGGGAGUGACUGACCCACCAUCACACAGCUGUUGGAAUUCUGGGGAAGAGAGCCAUCAUUUCUCCCCACUGAGCUCUGUGCCAAAAGUGUCACAUACGUUGUCAGUUUGGAACUACAGAUAUCCUCAUUUUCUGGAUGGGGAAACUGAAGCUCAGAGGGAUGAUGGGACCUUUCCAAGGUCACAUGGCUGGUCUUUUGCUACAGGUAGGGCGAGGUGGUGCUGUUCUUUACUUUCCACUUGCCCCCCACCCCCGAAGGAAUGAUGCCUGCUUAUCCUGGAGCCUCCAGCACCCAGCUAGGACCUGGCACACUGGGGUCAUGGAAUGAAUGAAUGAUACAGCUAGUACUCGAGGAGUUCCAGGUUCACCUCCCACCCCUUCAUCACCAGCCCUUGGACCUCUAGGCCAACUCCUUGUCCCUGUCCUUUGAUGACUCACAGGCCCCAGCCAGGUGACCUCUCACCUCUGCUCAUGACCCCAGAUGACCCUGGGGACUUCUGGUUGGGGACCAUAUCCAUCAUUCCCCAGUGGUCUGUCCCAGCCCUGGCUCCCCCCAUCCAUCUUCCCACCACAACCACAGGGAAGGGGGCAGUGGUGGGAUGGAGGGGGAAGGUCCCAUUCCUAGAAACACUUGGCCCCACCAAAGUCCUCACCCAUUUUUAGGACCAUUUGGGACCAUUUUAGGACAGCCACUCCCCACUUUUAGGACCAUUUGGUCAAAUACCUUGGAGCCCAACAUAUGACAGCUAAAGGCAGAGGGCUCUGGCUCCCUACUUGCCUCCCAGCAGCCUCCAGCGUCGAGACCCCCAGAGACCCUCCAGAAAACCAUGGAGAAAAACUACCCUGGGCACCAGGAGACUUGGGUUUGAAUUCCUGCUCAGCCAUUGGCUCGUUGUGUGACCUGGAGCAAGUCCCUUCCCUUCUCUGGACUUCACUUUCCCAUCGGCCACAUGAGAGGGCGGAACACAAUGGUUUUCAAACCUUUAUUGUUGGAACAGUGGAAAGCUUUUUUUUUUUUUUUUAAUUAAAUCAUGCACUGAGCACCGAGAUGAAAAA